Molecule: ribosomal RNA, 492 nt
Filed under: uncultured bacterium
Lineage: Bacteria
Description: partial 16S ribosomal RNA
Rfam family: Bacterial small subunit ribosomal RNA
Source: RNAcentral
AGUGAACGCUGGCGGUAGGCCUAGCACAUGCAAGUCGAACGGCAGCACAGUAAGAGCUUGCUCUUACGGGUGGCGAGUGGCGGACGGGUGAGGAAUACAUCGGAAUCUACUUUUUCGUGGGGGAUAACGUAGGGAAACUUACGCUAAUACCGCAUACGACCUACGGGUGAAAGCAGGGGAUCUUCGGACCUUGCGCGAUUGAAUGAGCCGAUGUCGGAUUAGCUAGUUGGCGGGGUAAAGGCCCACCAAGGCGACGAUCCGUAGCUGGUCUGAGAGGAUGAUCAGCCACACUGGAACUGAGAAACGGUCCAGACUCCUACGGGAGGCAGCAGUGGGGAAUAUUGGACAAUGGGCGCAAGCCUGAUCCAGCCAUACCGCGUGGGUGAAGAAGGCCUUCGGGUUGUAAAGCCCUUUUGUUGGGAAAGAAAAGCAGCAGGUUAAUACCCCGCUGUUCUGACGGUACCCAAAGAAUAAGCACCGGCUAACUUCGUG